This 68-nucleotide transfer RNA is filed under the name Bifidobacterium scardovii. It matches the Rfam family "tRNA", at positions 5 to 66 of the family's 71-position model. From Rfam's summary of the family: Transfer RNA (tRNA) molecules are approximately 80 nucleotides in length. The record is from RNAcentral. Lineage: Bacteria; Bacillati; Actinomycetota; Actinomycetes; Bifidobacteriales; Bifidobacteriaceae.
UUCGUAGCUCAGCGGAUAGAGCGUUCGCCUCCGGAGCGAAAGGUCGAGGGUUCGAAUCCCUUCGAGCC